Molecule: long non-coding RNA, 1004 nt
Organism: Panicum virgatum (switchgrass)
Lineage: Eukaryota; Viridiplantae; Streptophyta; Magnoliopsida; Poales; Poaceae
Exons: 2
Source: RefSeq, a predicted model, not a curated record
UAUACCCCCGAAUAUAUCCAGGGAAUAUCACGUGAAGACUGUUGUGCGAAAGUGGACAAGGCAAAAGGAAUAAACAGUAAUUAGAACAGUAAAUUCUAUUGUAGCCAGGACAAUUAUUGAAGGCAGCAGCGCCGUCCAGCUGUGCAGGCAACAGUAAAGGAGAAUAAUUGAAGAUGCCGGGUGUCCAGGCGCUUCCUUAAGCCCGAAGGCUCCUCCCGUCUAUAAAAGGAGAAGCCAGAUGCACACAUUCAUCGCCGGACCAAGAAGAGGAGCGAAGACACCGACCGCCGAAUACUCAGAGCGCAUCCACCACCACUCCACCUAAUUAGUAGCCACCUCACUCCCAUUGUAAUAUAGAAAUAAGGGAGAAGCUGUCAUCGUCCCGCGUUUGUAAGCUUGAAUUUUUGAAUUUUUUCCGCUUUCAUGUUCCACUAUACUGGUAUCACAAGCCAGAGUGUUUGCUUGAUGUCUGCGACAUCAAUCAUUUGGGCGUGGAAGACUAUACCCCCGAAUAUCUUCAGGAAAUAUCACGUGAAGAAAGUUGUGCAGAAGUGGACAAGGCAAAAGAAAUAAACAGUAAUUAGAACAGUAAAUUCUACUGAAGUCAGGACAAUUAUUGAAGGCAGCAGCGCCGUCCAGCUGUCCAGACAACAUUAAAGGAGAAUAAUUGAAGACACCGGGUGUCCAGGCGCUUCCUUAAGCCAGAAGGCUCCUCCCGUCUAUAAAAGGAGAAGCCAGGCGCACGCACUCAUCGCCAGAAGAAGAAGAGAGACGGAACAAGAAGAGAAGAGAAGACACCGACUGCUGAAUACUCAGAGCGUAUCCACCACCACUCCACCUAAUUAGUAGCCAUCUCACUCCCAUUGUAAUAUAGAAAUAAGGGAGAAGCCAUGAUCGUCCCGCGUUUGUAAGGUAAUCCCUAAGGUUGUGUAAGUGCUUGGGGUUUCCCAAAAGGGAAAGCCGUAUGUAAGUUUGCUCUGUGGAAAUGGAUUAAGCUUUCCUGA